UAAUGACUGAAAAUAAUUAGAUAUGCGCAUGCAACAUGAUAUAUGAGCACAAAUACACAUACAACAUGAUCUAUGAGCACAAAAAUUUCCAAAGCAUGUGAAUUAAAUUGACUUACUAAUUUGGCAAACUACUGCCGCCGUAUGGCAUCUUCUGAACUUAAUCAAGGGAAAAUACUGCAUCGAGAGAAAAACAGUAAAUAAUCUCAUCCUGAAGAAAAUUGAAUCAAGGAAGAGUGUGCUUGUCACAAAAGAGUAAUAAAGAUUAAAGAGAGAAAGAUAUUUCACCUAGGGCUUUAAUGAUCGAUCUGGCCAUGGCGAUGCUGUCCAUGGAGAGAAGCACAUAGAGAGAGGGAUGACAUGAUGGAGAAAUCGUUGUAGCCGCCACCAAGAUGCUUUCCUCACGGGCUUGAAAUAUUCUGAAGUUCUAGUGUUAUUUCUUCUAGUCUAAGAAGAUAAGGAAGAGCAGCAAUAUCUAGAGUGUAGUAGCAGAUGAGACUAAAGAAGGAGAUUACCAGGAGGUUUGCAAGGAUGCCAGUUGCCACGGAUCCAAAGGGGUGUUGUCAGCAGUGCUAGCGCACACGUCACAGAUAAAUAGUAUGGCUGUAUGGAGA
This 611-nucleotide long non-coding RNA is filed under the name Triticum aestivum (bread wheat). Its description in RNAcentral is "long non-coding RNA (TAES_LNC022148)". The record is from RNAcentral. Lineage: Eukaryota; Viridiplantae; Streptophyta; Magnoliopsida; Poales; Poaceae.